CGCAUCUGUGCAUGCAGCAUAUCAAUAAGCGGAGGAAAAGAAACUAACAAGGAUUCCCCUAGUAACGGCGAGUGAAGCGGGAAGAGCUCAAAUUUGAAAUCUUAAAGGGUUUCCCUUUACGAAUUGUAGUUUAAAGAAGUGUUUUCUGUUGAGGUUUUGGUAAAAGUUCUUUGGAAUAGGACAUCAUAGAGGGUGAGAAUCCCGUAUUUGACCUUUACUUUCAACUUUGUGAUACACUUUCAAAGAGUCGGAUUGUUUGGGAAUGCAGUCCAAAAUGGGUGGUAAAUUUCAUCUAAAGCUAAAUAUUGGCGAGAGGACCGAUAGCGAACAAGUACCGUGAGGGAAAGAUGAAAAGAACUUUGAAAAGAGAGUUAAACAGUACGUGAAAUUGUCAAAAGGGAAGCGUUUGACACCAGUGUUGUUUUUCUGAAAAUCAAUUAAAGAACUGUUUAUGCUAAGUUGUUUAGACUUUAUCAGCUAUCUGUUUAGUUUUGAGCUUUUCUUUAAUGCACUUUUCAGUUAACAAGUCAACAUCAAUUUCUUUUGCUGUAAAAAAGCUUGAGGAAGGUGGCUUGAGAUUCGUCUUAAGUGUUUAUAGCCUCUUGCCUAUGCAGUCGGAGAGAUUGAGGUCUGCAGCGUAGAUCCUUCGGGGCUAAAUGCAUUUGUGCUAAGUUAUAGCAUUUUAUAGACAACUUGUUGACUAUGAUUUGUCUUGUAGCUUACUCGCUUAUGUUAUUUUACCUACGCUUAGGAUGUUGAGUCGUAGAGCACGCAG
This 775-nucleotide ribosomal RNA is filed under the name uncultured Neocallimastigales. RNAcentral describes it as "partial large subunit ribosomal RNA". It matches the Rfam family "Eukaryotic large subunit ribosomal RNA", at positions 26 to 628 of the family's 3401-position model. The record is from RNAcentral. Lineage: Eukaryota; Fungi; Neocallimastigomycota; Neocallimastigomycetes; Neocallimastigales.